This 41-nucleotide ribosomal RNA is filed under the name Verticillium alfalfae. RNAcentral's name for it is "partial 18S ribosomal RNA". Lineage: Eukaryota; Fungi; Ascomycota; Sordariomycetes; Glomerellales; Plectosphaerellaceae. The record is from RNAcentral.
UUAACAAGGUCUCCGUUGGUGAACCAGCGGAGGGAUCAUUA